Molecule: ribosomal RNA, 253 nt
Filed under: uncultured bacterium
Lineage: Bacteria
Description: partial 16S ribosomal RNA
Rfam family: Bacterial small subunit ribosomal RNA
Source: RNAcentral
UACGUAGGUGGCAAGCGUUGUCCGGAUUUACUGGGCGUAAAGAGCGCGCAGGCGGUCGUUCAAGUCGCGUGUGAAAGCCCCCGGCUCAACUGGGGAGGGUCACGCGAUACUGAUCGACUGGAAGGCAGGAGAGGGUAGUGGAAUUCCCGGUGUAGUGGUGAAAUGCGUAGAUAUCGGGAGGAACACCAGUGGCGAAGGCGGCUGGCUGGACCGCAACUGACGCUGAGGAACGAAAGCUAGGGGAGCAAACAGG